RNAcentral lists this transfer RNA (74 nucleotides) under Candidatus Tayloriibacteriota bacterium. RNAcentral's name for it is "Candidatus Taylorbacteria bacterium (sediment metagenome) tRNA-Gln". It matches the Rfam family "tRNA". Rfam says of the family: Transfer RNA (tRNA) molecules are approximately 80 nucleotides in length. Their secondary structure includes four short double-helical elements and three loops (D, anti-codon, and T loops). Further hydrogen bonds mediate the characteristic L-shaped molecular structure. tRNAs have two regions of fundamental functional importance: the anti-codon, which is responsible for specific mRNA codon recognition, and the 3' end, to which the tRNAs corresponding amino acid is attached (by aminoacyl-tRNA synthetases). tRNAs cope with the degeneracy of the genetic code in two manners: having more than one tRNA (with a specific anti-codon) for a particular amino acid; and 'wobble' base-pairing, i.e. permitting non-standard base-pairing at the 3rd anti-codon position. The record is from RNAcentral. Lineage: Bacteria; Candidatus Tayloriibacteriota.
UGCGGGGUGGUGUAAUGGUAGCACAGCGGACUCUGAAUCCGUGAAUCUUGGUUCGAAUCCAAGCCCCGCAGCCA